UGCAGUCGAGCGCCCCGCAAGGGGAGCGGCAGACGGGUGAGUAACGCGUGGGAACGUACCUUUUGCUACGGAAUAACUCAGGGAAACUUGUGCUAAUACCGUAUGUGCCCUUCGGGGGAAAGAUUUAUCGGCAAAGGAUCGGCCCGCGUUGGAUUAGCUAGUUGGUGAGGUAAAGGCUCACCAAGGCGACGAUCCAUAGCUGGUCUGAGAGGAUGAUCAGCCACACUGGGACUGAGACACGGCCCAGACUCCUACGGGAGGCAGCAGUGGGGAAUAUUGGACAAUGGGCGCAAGCCUGAUCCAGCCAUGCCGCGUGAGUGAUGAAGGCCCUAGGGUUGUAAAGCUCUUUCACCGGUGAAGAUAAUGACGGUAACCGGAGAAGAAGCCCCGGCUAACUUCGUGCCAGCCCCCGCGGUAA
This 418-nucleotide ribosomal RNA is filed under the name Ochrobactrum sp. SA_03. RNAcentral's name for it is "bacterial SSU rRNA". It matches the Rfam family "Bacterial small subunit ribosomal RNA", at positions 56 to 523 of the family's 1533-position model. Lineage: Bacteria; Pseudomonadati; Pseudomonadota; Alphaproteobacteria; Hyphomicrobiales; Brucellaceae. The record is from RNAcentral.